UCUAAUCCCUUCCCGGCCCACCACCACCAGCCCCGACCACCAUCAACCACUCCUCUCUCUCUCUCUCUCUCUCUCUCUCCCCUUUUCUCUCUCCUCUCUCUCUCUCUCUCCCCUUUUCUCUCUCCUCUCUCUCUUUGUCGCUCUCUCCACCUCGGCCUCUCUCUGCUUCCGCUCGGCUCCACCUCUGCCUCUCUCCACCUUCGCCACAUUUAGGAGUUUCGGUGCUCCGCCACCAUUUUGUAGAUCCCACAGGUGCACUAGCUAUUUUGGUUCCACAAGCUAAAGAUGUCGUAUUAUUGGGACUAUGAUGCCAUCUAUGAUUAGGUGCAGAUGAUCGAGCGUACAUCAGAAGCAUCGAUAUGAACUGGCAUCAUCUAGCACUCCACCCUGCAGCUGAUCCCCUCGUACCCGAUGGCGACGACGAUGACAACAAACAU
Molecule: long non-coding RNA, 437 nt
Organism: Sesamum indicum (sesame)
Lineage: Eukaryota; Viridiplantae; Streptophyta; Magnoliopsida; Lamiales; Pedaliaceae
Source: RefSeq, a predicted model, not a curated record